AUUGAACGCUGGCGGCAGGCCUAACACAUGCAAGUCGAGAGGAGCGGCGGACGGGUGAGUAAUGCCUAGGAACCUGCCUGGUAGUGGGGGAUAACGUCCGGAAACGGGCGCUAAUACCGCAUACUAUCAGAUUAGCCUAGGUCGGAUUAGCUAGUUGGUGGGGUAAAGGCCUACCAAGGCGACGAUCCGUAACUGGUCUGAGAGGAUGAUCAGUCACAUUGGAACUGAGACACGGUCCAGACUCCUACGUGAGGGAGCAGUGGGGAAUAUUGGACAAUGGGCGAAAGUCUGACCCAGCCAUGCCGCGUGUGUGAAGAAGGUCUUCGGAGUGUAAAGCACUUUAAGUUGUGAGGCGUUAGCAACAGAAUAAGCACCGGCUAACUUCGUGCCAGCAGCCGCGGUAAUUC
Molecule: ribosomal RNA, 407 nt
Filed under: uncultured bacterium
Lineage: Bacteria
Description: partial 16S ribosomal RNA
Rfam family: Bacterial small subunit ribosomal RNA
Source: RNAcentral